Molecule: ribosomal RNA, 253 nt
Filed under: uncultured bacterium
Lineage: Bacteria
Description: partial 16S ribosomal RNA
Rfam family: Bacterial small subunit ribosomal RNA
Source: RNAcentral
UACGAAGGGUGCAAGCGUUACUCGGAAUUACUGGGCGUAAAGCGCGUGUAGGCGGUUGUUCAAGUCAGGUGUGAAAGCCUUGAGCUCAACUCAAGAAAUGCACUUGAUACUGGAUGACUAGAGGACCGGAGAGGAUAGUGGAAUUCCCAGUGUAGUGGUGAAAUACGUAGAGAUUGGGAAGAACACCAGUGGCGAAGGCGGCUAUCUGGACGGUUUCUGACGCUAAGACGCGAAAGCGUGGGGAGCAAACAGG